RNAcentral lists this unclassified non-coding RNA (400 nucleotides) under soil metagenome. RNAcentral describes it as "partial contains 5.8S ribosomal RNA, internal transcribed spacer 2, and large subunit ribosomal RNA". The stretch from base 1 to 122 matches the Rfam family "5.8S ribosomal RNA", at positions 35 to 154 of the family's 154-position model. The record is from RNAcentral.
GAUGAAGAACGCAGCGAAAUGCGAUACUUGGUGUGAAUUGCAGAAUCCCGUGAACCAUCGAGUCUUUGAACGCAAGUUGCGCCUCAAGCCAUUAGGUUGAGGGCACGUCUGCCUGGGCGUCACAUAUCGUUGCCUGAUGCCAGUUUCCUCGUGAUGGGUGACUGUGCAGGGCGAAUGAUGGCUUCCCGUGAGCAUUGUUGCCUCAUGGUUGGUUGAAAAUUGAGUCCUUGGUAGGGAGCGCCGUGAUAGAUGGUGGUUGAGUGACGAACGAGACCCAAUCAUGUGAGACCCCUACCGAAUUUGGCCAUCAUGACCCACAUGCGUCUUUGGAACGCUCAUGACGAGACCUCAGGUCAGGCGGGGCUACCCGCUGAGUUUAAGCAUAUCAAUAAGCGGAGGA